GACGUAGGGCGCGAGCGUUGUCCGGAUUUAUUGGGCGUAAAGAGCUCGUAGGCGGCUUGUCGCGUCGGAUGUGAAAGCCCGGGGCUUAACUCCGGGUCUGCAUUCGAUACGGGCAGGCUAGAGUGUGGUAGGGGAGAUCGAAUUCCUGGUGUAGCGGUGAAAUGCGCAGAUAUCAGGAGGAACACCGGUGGCGAAGGCGGAUCUCUGGGCCAUUACUGACGCUGAGGAGCGAAAGCGUGGGGAGCGAACAGG
This 252-nucleotide ribosomal RNA is filed under the name uncultured bacterium. Its description in RNAcentral is "partial 16S ribosomal RNA". It matches the Rfam family "Bacterial small subunit ribosomal RNA", at positions 524 to 776 of the family's 1533-position model. The record is from RNAcentral.